GGGAAUCUACCCAGUUCUACGGAACAACUGAGGGAAACUUCAGCUAAUACCGUAUACGCCCUACGGGGGAAAGAUUUAUCGGAAUUGGAUGAGCCCGCGUAAGAUUAGCUAGUUGGUGAGGUAAUGACUCACCAAGGCGACGAUCUUUAGCUGGUCUGAGAGGAUGAUCAGCCACACUGGGACUGAGACACGGCCCAGACUCCUACGGGAGGCAGCAGUGGGGAAUAUUGGACAAUGGGCGCAAGCCUGAUCCAGCCAUGCCGCGUGAGUGAUGAAGGCCUUAGGGUUGUAAAGCUCUUUCAGUGGGGACGAUAAUGACGGUACCCACAGAAGAAGCCCCGGCUAACUUCGUGCCAGCAGCCGCGGUAAUACGAAGGGGGCUAGCGUUGUUCGGAUUUACUGGGCGUAAAGCGCACGUAGGCGGAUCGUUAAGUCGGGGGUGAAAUCCUGGAGCUCAACUCCAGAACUGCCUUCGAUACUGGCGAUCUUGAGUCCGGAAGAGGUGAGUGGAACUCCUAGU
RNAcentral lists this ribosomal RNA (520 nucleotides) under uncultured bacterium. RNAcentral's name for it is "bacterial SSU rRNA". It matches the Rfam family "Bacterial small subunit ribosomal RNA", at positions 120 to 674 of the family's 1533-position model. The record is from RNAcentral.